This 665-nucleotide ribosomal RNA is filed under the name uncultured bacterium. RNAcentral describes it as "bacterial SSU rRNA". It matches the Rfam family "Bacterial small subunit ribosomal RNA", at positions 9 to 672 of the family's 1533-position model. The record is from RNAcentral.
GAGUUUGAUCCUGGCUCAGGACGAACGCUGGCGGCGUGCUUAACACAUGCAAGUCGAACGGAGUGCUCCUGAAAGAGUUUUCGGACAAUGGAUGGGAACACUUAGUGGCGGACUGGUGAGUAACGCGUGAGGAACCUGCCUUCCAGAGGGGGACAACAGUUGGAAACGACUGCUAAUACCGCAUGAUACAUUUGAAUCGCAUGGUUUGAAUGUCAAAGAUUUAUCGCUGGAAGAUGGCCUCGCGUCUGAUUAGCUAGUUGGUGAGGUAACGGCCCACCAAGGCGACGAUCAGUAGCCGGACUGAGAGGUUGGCCGGCCACAUUGGGACUGAGAUACGGCCCAGACUCCUACGGGAGGCAGCAGUGGGGAAUAUUGGGCAAUGGACGCAAGUCUGACCCAGCAACGCCGCGUGAAGGAAGAAGGCUUUCGGGUUGUAAACUUCUUUUAAGGGGGAAGAGCAGAAGACGGUACCCCUUGAAUAAGCCACGGCUAACUACGUGCCAGCAGCCGCGGUAAUACGUAGGUGGCAAGCGUUGUCCGGAUUUACUGGGUGUAAAGGGCGUGCAGCCGGAGAGACAAGUCAGAUGUGAAAUCCGCAGGCUCAACCUGCGAACUGCAUUUGAAACUGUUUCNCUUGAGUAUCGGAGAGGUCAUCGGAAUUCCUA